Molecule: ribosomal RNA, 603 nt
Filed under: uncultured bacterium
Lineage: Bacteria
Description: bacterial SSU rRNA
Rfam family: Bacterial small subunit ribosomal RNA (bases 1-517)
Source: RNAcentral
CCUACGGGAGGCAGCAGUGGGGAAUCUUGCACAAUGGAGGAAACUCUGAUGCAGCGAUGCCGCGUGAGUGAAGAAGGCCUUUGGGUUGUAAAGCUCUUUUGUAGGGGAAGAUAAUGACUGUACCCUAAGAAUAAGGUCCGGCUAACUUCGUGCCAGCAGCCGCGGUAAUACGAAGGGACCUAGCGUAGUUCGGAAUUACUGGGCGUAAAGCGCGCGUAGGCCGUUGAGUUAGUUAAUUGUGAAAUCCCAAAGCUUAACUUUGGAACUGCAAUUAAAACUGCUCGACUAGAGUUUGAUAGAGGAAGGCGGAAUACAUAGUGUAGAGGUGAAAUUCGUAGAUAUUAUGUAGAACACCAGUUGCGAAGGCGGCUUUCUGGAAUCAACACUGACGCUGAGGCGCGAAAGUAUGGGUAGCAAAGAGGAUUAGAUACCCUCGUAGUCCAAUACCAUAAACGAUGAUUGCUAGAUGUUAGGAAAUUUAUUUUCAGUAUCGCAGCUAACGCAUUAANANANCNCCGUGGAGGUACGACCGACGAAGUAAACGUAACAAANAGUAAGUAGUAGCGUUGUAGAGUUAGCCGACGACGACGACGAGGGAGGAGG